UGGACGGGUGAGUAACGCGUGAGAAUCUGCCUUAUGGACGGGGACAACAACUGGAAACGGUUGCUAAAACCCGAUGUGCCCUUUUUUAGGGUGAAAUAUUAAUAGCCAGAAGAGGAGCUCGCGUCUGAUUAGCUAGUUGGAGUGGUAAGAGCACACCAAGGCGACGAUCAGUAGCUGGUCUGAGAGGAUGAACAGCCACACUGGGACUGAGACACGGCCCAGACUCCUACGGGAGGCAGCAGUGGGGAAUUUUCCGCAAUGGGCGAAAGCCUGACGGAGCAAGACCGCGUGGGGGAGGAAGGUCUAUUGAUUGUAGACCCCUUUUCUGAGGAAAGAAAUAGACGACGGUACCUCAGGAAUAAGCAUCGGCUAACUCUGUGCCAGCAGCCGCGGUAAUACAGAGGAUGCAAGCGUUAUCCGGAAUUAUUGGGCGUAAAGAGUCCGUAGGGGGCUAAUCAAGUCUGUCGUUAAAGACCGCAGCUUAACUGCGGGCAGGCGAUGGAAACUGAGGAGCUAGAGAGCAGUAGGGGCAGAGGGAAUUCCCAGUGUAGCGGUGAAAUGCGUAGAGAUUGGGAAGAACAUCGGUGGCGAAAGCGCUCUGCUGGGCUGAAUCUGACCCUGAGGGACGAAAGCUAGGGGAGCAAAAGGGAUUAGAUACCCCUGUAGUC
This 668-nucleotide ribosomal RNA is filed under the name Synechocystis fuscopigmentosa CCALA 191. Its description in RNAcentral is "bacterial SSU rRNA". It matches the Rfam family "Bacterial small subunit ribosomal RNA", at positions 99 to 795 of the family's 1533-position model. Lineage: Bacteria; Bacillati; Cyanobacteriota; Cyanophyceae; Synechococcales; Merismopediaceae. The record is from RNAcentral.